This is a long non-coding RNA of Gasterosteus aculeatus aculeatus (three-spined stickleback), 2196 nucleotides long. NCBI's taxonomy places the organism in Eukaryota, Metazoa, Chordata, Actinopteri, Perciformes, Gasterosteidae. The record is from Ensembl.
CUACACUGAAAAAACGAACUUGGUGGUGUAGUAAAAUAUACUAAUUAAACUGUCCUGAUGUCUACAAUUAAAUUUUUCGUUUCUGCGGGAACUAGAUUUUGUCAAGUAAAAUUACAUGUAUGUACACAAUUUAUUUAUGUAUUUAAAAUGGCUGUGUGGAAGGAGUAAGUCUUAUUAUGGAUGUUUUCAUAACAUUUAAAUGUUUUUUAGUCUCUGCUAGAAACACUAAAAUACUGAGUAAAUUUUACGACACUAUUUUAGAGUGCGUUUGAAUCAGCGCAUGCGCAUUGGGACAAACGAAAGUACCGCGCAGAUGUCCAUUGUCCGUCCGUUCGUUGGCAGCAGACAGAGUUGUGAAUAUCUCCGGAAUCUCUCAGGUAAGUAACAGCUUUAUCCAUUAAAUAAUUUAUUAUCAGUUUAAAACGCGUUUUGGUGAUUAGUUUGAAGCACUGUAUGGACUGCACACCGAGCGGUCUACACCAAGGUUUGUGUGAUGUAGCUUGAUGCUAGCUAGCUAGUUAUUAGCCAGUUCAUUCCACCAGAGUCGCACACCGCGCGGUUAAUUUGCGAGAUACUAUAUCUUAUUCAGAGCUAUUGUAUUUUGUCUCAUGUACUGUCCCGUGUAGUGCGAAUAUAACACAACGCUACGCCAAAGUUUUUCGUUUUUUUAGUUAUUGUCUAUGUGCUUUCACCUCGAAACAUCAUCUCAACUUUUAGCAUGGCGGCCGCGUUGCGGUGUAUCGUUGAAGCUGCGUGCCACGGUCAAGAGACAAACACAACAUGAAAAUGGCUGUAAAUGAAUCUAUAAAUUAUAAGUUGCCCUUAAAAAUAUGUGUUUUCAUUCACAGGCGACUGUUUUUGUAUUUAGCCGGCUGGGACAUGAGGUGACCAGAGAGAGUCAGGAGCGCUGGGCUGUUCAGUGACUAAUCAAAUACUGCACCGUUGUGAUUAGAGCAAAGCUUCAUGUACAAACUAGACCACUAUACACCAAAGCUUACUGCCCUGAUGAAAGCCAAGGGAGGUGUUGGAGGCAGGCUGAGGCCCCAUCUGGAUAAACUGAGUCAGAACCCGAGCACUGACAUGUGACGUGACGCAGUUAUCAGUGGCCUCAUACUAUUCCUUGGUGAAAAAGAAGAGAAACUUUUCGAAGAUUGCCUGGAGGACAAUCGCAGUGAUGCCACUCAACACAUAGUCAAGAUCCUGGUUGUCCAUGGUACUGAUGGAGAAGAACCAGUAGAUGUUUCCAUCAUUCUUGAAGGGAAGGAGGUAUUGACACGAUGCAACAGCACAGCCAAAGCUUGCACGUUGCUAAUGGGACUGAUUUAUUCCCUGAACCUUGCCUACCCCUGGACUCUGCGCUACACCUUUGAGGUGUUUCAAAAACUUUUCCUGGAACUGAAUGGGAUAAAGCUGUCACCAAAAGUACAUCUUUAAAGUUGAAGUUGCUGUCUGAAAGGAGUUUUCUUUCUUAAAUGUUCCUAAUGUUGUCAACAAAGGCAACUGCUGUCAUUCAUGCUCACAAGGUAAAAAAAAAGUUAAAAAUAACCUUUGUUUUAAAGGUUUUAACAGAGGAUUUGAUGUUGUCCUCAAACUUUAAUGUUUUAACCGAAUGCUAAUAUAAAUAUGUUAAUGGAUGUUGCGGUUUAGAAUGUUGUUCAUGUCAGUACAGCAUAUUUUGUCAGGUCAAACCCUCAAUCUGUUUUGUCACCUGAUGUGCCCUGUUUAGUUUAAUGCGUCCAGGAGUCAAAAACAUUUUGAUUUUCCAGUGAUAUGCUUUUUUUCUGUAUAGCGUAAUGAUCACUCAGUAAAGGUAAACUUUUUUCUUUAUUGAUGCUUGAUUGAUGCUUUAUUGAUUUACUGCUGCUGAGAUUUCAUUUAAUUUUUUGUCAUGUGAAAUGUUGACUGCUGUUUCAUGUACAGUUCUACAUAGCUGUAUAAAAUGAGGUGUUACGUAAGGUACCUGACAAAGGUUUAUGAAUAAAUAAUGGAAUUGUAUUUUAGCCGUGUGAUUAUUAAUAGUAUUUGGUAAUAUUUAUCAAAAGAGAAUUUGCAACAUUUACAUAAAUGAAUUAGGUAAUAUAACUUCAAACAACCAAGUAAUUAAAAUGAUCAAACAGGAUAAAAAGUACUUGAUAAUUUUACGACAGUAAAUAUCAAAGAUAAAUAAAAUCUACUCAAUAUUUUGAUGUUGUAAAU